Molecule: ribosomal RNA, 487 nt
Filed under: Acanthops sp. MN085
Lineage: Eukaryota; Metazoa; Arthropoda; Insecta; Mantodea; Acanthopidae
Description: partial 16S ribosomal RNA
Source: RNAcentral
GGUUUCUUGAGAAAAUAAGAAAUUUWACCYGCCCCCUKAAUAAGAAUUAAAUGGCCGCAGUAAUUUGACUGUGCAAAGGUAGCAUAAUCAUUAGUUUUUUAAUUGAGAACUAGUAUGAAUGGUUGGACGAGGUGAAUUCUGUUUUAUAAUAACAAAUUGAAUUUAAAAUUUAAGUAAAAAGACUUAAAUAUAUUUAAGGGACGAGAAGACCCUAUAGAGUUUAAUAAAUUUACUUUUAAUUGAGUUAAUAAAAAAGUUUUAAUUAUGAGGAAGUUUAUUUUAUUGGGGAGGUAAAAAAAUAAUAAAAACUUUUUUUUUUGUUAAAUUUAAGUGGUUAGAUAAUUGAUCCAUUAAUAGUGAUAGAAAGAUUAAAUUACCUUAGGGAUAACAGCAUAAUUUUUUUUGAAAGUCCUUAUUGAARGGAAAGAUUAUGMCCCCGAUGUKGGAUUAAGAUAAAUUUKGGGGGUAGAKGUYCAAAAAUUAGGUC